This 497-nucleotide ribosomal RNA is filed under the name uncultured bacterium. Its description in RNAcentral is "partial 16S ribosomal RNA". It matches the Rfam family "Bacterial small subunit ribosomal RNA", at positions 28 to 507 of the family's 1533-position model. The record is from RNAcentral.
GAUGAACGCUGGCGGCGUGCCUAAUACAUGCAAGUCGAGCGAACAGACGAGGAGCUUGCUCCUCUGACGUUAGCGGCGGACGGGUGAGUCACACGUGGAUACUCUACCUAUAAUACUGGGAUCACUUCGGGACACGGGAGCUAAUACCGGAUAAUAUAUUGAACCGCAUGGUUCAAUAGUGAAAGACGGUUUUGCUGUCACUUAUAGCUGGAUCUCGGCCGUAUGAGCUAGUUGGUAAUGUGAAGGCUUUCCAAGGGGACUAGGCGUAUCCGACCUGAUAGGGUGAUCGGCCACACGGGAACUGAAACACGGUCCAGACGCCUACGGGAGGCAGCAGUAGGGAAUCUUACGCAAUGGGCGAGAGCCUGACGGAGCAACGCCGCGUGAGUGAUGAAGGUCUUCGGAUCGUAAAACUCGGUUAUUAGGGAAGAACAAAUGUGUAAGUAACUAUGCACGUCUUGACGGUACCUAAUCAGAAAGCCACGGCUAACUACGUG